ACCAGACUCCUACGGGAGGCAGCAGUGAGGAAUAUUGGUUAAUGGGCGGAAGCCUGAACCAGCCAAGUCGCGUGAGGGAAUAAGGCCCUACGGGUCGUAAACCUCUUUUGCCGGGGAGCAAGGGCGGGGACGUGUCCCGGCCCGGAGAGUACCCGGAGAAAAAGCAUCGGCUAACUCCGUGCCGGCAGCCGCGGUAAUACGGAGGAUGCGAGCGUUAUCCGGAUUUAUUGGGUUUAAAGGGUGCGUAGGCGGGCUUUUAAGUCAGCGGUAAAAAUUCGGGGCUCAACCCCGUCGUGCCGUUGAAACUGAUGUUCUUGAGUGGGCGAGAAGUAUGCGGAAUGCGUGGUGUAGCGGUGAAAUGCAUAGAUAUCACGCAGAACUCCGAUUGCGAAGGCAGCGUGCCGUGCCGCCACUGACGCUGAGGCACGAAAGCGCGGGGAUCGAACAGGAUUAGAUACCCGGGUAGU
This 467-nucleotide ribosomal RNA is filed under the name uncultured bacterium. RNAcentral's name for it is "bacterial SSU rRNA". It matches the Rfam family "Bacterial small subunit ribosomal RNA", at positions 330 to 794 of the family's 1533-position model. The record is from RNAcentral.